AGCUCCAAUAGCGUAUAUUAAAGUUGUUGUGGUUAAAAAGCUCGUAGUUGGAUUUCGGCGGGUAGUGGUUGGUUUGAAUUGAUUUAACACUGACUUUUUUACCCGUGUGUUUUGCCAGAAUCUUUCGGGUGAUCUUUACCGAUUGUCCGUUGGAACUGGCAGGUUUUCUUUGAAAAAAUUAGAGUGCUCAAAGCAAGCUUACUGCUUGAAUAGUUGCGCAUGGAAUAAUAGAAUAGGAAGUCGUUUCUAUUUUGUUGGUUUUCGGAAAUCGACUUAAUGAUUAAUAGGGAUAGUCGGGGGCAAACGACAGAGGUGAAAUUCUUGGACCGUUUGAAGACGAACUAAGGCGAAAGCAUUUGCCAAGAAUGUUUUCA
This 374-nucleotide ribosomal RNA is filed under the name marine copepod environmental sample. Its description in RNAcentral is "SSU rRNA". It matches the Rfam family "Eukaryotic small subunit ribosomal RNA", at positions 587 to 972 of the family's 1831-position model. Lineage: Eukaryota; Metazoa; Arthropoda; Copepoda. The record is from RNAcentral.